AAGGGCGGGAUGGAGUUGAACUGGGCGGGGCGGGGCGGAGCUGGGCGAAAGGGGAGGGGAGGGGCCUGACAGAUGUGGUCCAACCCAGCUCUGUGGCUGGACUGAGGCCCUGUGAGUAAGCCUGACAAGCUCCCAGAGCCUCAGUGUUCUCAUCUGCAAAAGGGCACACUAACCUGCUUUACAGGGUUGCUGGCAGAUAAAAUAGGCUAACAAAGCACCUGGUGGGGCACCCAGUGGGGCCCAGUUAAAGAGGAGCUCAUGAUAAUUAGAUGGUUUCAACUUUCCAACAGGUAGGUUUCCAAAAGUUCAAUUAUGUGGAGGCUUCUGGCACUUUCUAAGAGAAACAGUUACAGGUAGAGGUUGAAGUCUAAGAUUUCCCCUGGAGGUCUUCUUAACCUUAGAGUCUCUAUGAUGAGUACUGUGGGGGUGUUGUGAACCACCAUUUCUGAUCCCGCACGAUGCCGUCCAUUUGCACCAGCACAUCCACUGAUGAGUGGUCACAAAAUCAGCAGGGUCGGCCUGGGGCACCUGGCUCCAUCCCUGGGGUCUGCACGCUAAGAAGGCUCUCCCGGAUGUCUGUGCUGGGGUCCCACAGCAGCAUGUUUAUGUCUCUGGAAGGAGUGUGGUCAUCCAGCGCCCAGGCAGAGAUUUCAGCUUGACUAUCAGCUCUUGGGAGAGGCCUUUCUUCAUCAACUUCCUGGAAAACCACUGUCUCUGGAUCACACACCCCAUUUAUCAGGUCAGAGCCUCAUCACAGUUUCAGACUAUCUGAGUGAUGUGUAUUUGCUGCCGAUGUGACUAUUCACACUACAUAUACGCUCAGGAGGGAGGACAGGGAUGGCCUUUUCACCACCAUGUACCUCCUCAGUACCAGCAACAGUGUACAAUGUGCAGCACAGAUGCCAGGCGUCAUCUGCAGAAUGAGUGUGAGAACAUAUGCUCACCAAGCCUCCACUCUGCCAGAUACGGGGCUAAGUCCUGCAGACACAAGGACCAGCAGUCCCUGACUUCCACAGCCUCUGUCCUGGGGCCCAAACAGAUACCCAAGAUAGCAGUGUGGUGAUAGGGUCACCAUGACACCAGCCUUCCUCCCUAAGCUGUUAAGUGCAGCUAAUUGCUAUUGACCAGAUGCAAGAAACCACCUUCCCUGUGAAGUAAGGCUGUCCCUGAGUGCCCAGUCUGGAAUUCCCCAGACAGACCAUCUUGGGGUGGGUGGAGAUCCCUACCAGCACAGCUUCGAUGUCUGUGACACCCAGAAGGCACAGGACUGAAACGUGCUUAAUUUCUAAUGACUGGGACACACAGAAAAAGAUGAAUCCAGAGGCCAACAGCAGAGAAGCAGGCUGGGCUGGCAUUUUCAGUGGCCAGCCCUCCCUCUAGCCCAGCUGGCUCUGUCUGGUGCCAGCUGACCACCAUUCCUGUGGCCUGCAGUUACAGGAAGAGACUUCCCAGGACCUUAUACCAUGGCCUAAGUCUCCUUCCAUCUAAGCAACAAAAAACGUGGCCUACCCUUCUUAGGAGGAAAAAAUAUGCUCUGACUAUAUGAGUAAUACCAACAGCACUUUGAAAGGCUGAGGUGGAAGGAUUGCUUGAGCCCUGGAAUUUGAGACCAGCCUGGGCAACAUAGCGAGACCCCAUCUCUACAAAUAAUAAUUUAAAAAUUAGGUGAUGUGCACCUGGUGGUCUCAGCUACUUGGGAGACUGAGGUUGGGGGAUUACUUGAGCCUGGGAGGUCAAGGUGAGCCAUGAUUGUGCCACUGCAUUCCAGUCUGGGUGACAGAGCAAGACCCUGUCUCAAAAAAAAAAUAAAAAAAAUAAAGGAA
Long non-coding RNA from Cercocebus atys (sooty mangabey), 1823 nucleotides. RefSeq lists it as uncharacterized. The record is from RefSeq and is a predicted model, not a curated record. NCBI's taxonomy places the organism in Eukaryota, Metazoa, Chordata, Mammalia, Primates, Cercopithecidae. The transcript has 2 exons.